GGGCAGAUGGAAUCAGUUAUGUCAAUUUCCUAAUUGUCUCAGCAUUGCUAGCUCUUCCCAUAGCCAGUGCAGUUUCCAACAAUGCAAUUCUAUCCUGAAGAGUCUCCUUCUCUUGAGCAUAAAUAGAUUGAGUCUCCUUUAAUUCAGAAAUCUUAUCAUCCAACUCAUUCCUCAGUUUUUGCAAACGAGUGUCUUCCUUAUGCAUCGAAGUGGGUAAGGCAGCAUUGUUUACCUCCCCAAGACAUGUUUGGUAGUCUGCAAGGACAACACUUGAAAAGAAACUCCAACUUCUUCAAAUAUGGGGGGCAACCAAAACCUAUAAGGAAGAGCAUGCACAUUUUCAUCCUUAAUUAGCACACGUUGCAUGUGUUUGACAAUUAGGUAAGGCAAAUUCAUAUUUACCCCUACAUGAAAAAUCUUUAUAGUUG
RNAcentral lists this long non-coding RNA (428 nucleotides) under Capsicum annuum. RNAcentral describes it as "long non-coding RNA (CANN_LNC015650)". The record is from RNAcentral. Lineage: Eukaryota; Viridiplantae; Streptophyta; Magnoliopsida; Solanales; Solanaceae.